UUUCUUCUUCUCAAUAAAAUCAAAAAUGAAACGGACCCAACGAUCACCACCAUCACAAUCUUCGUCGUCGCCACCUUCACUUCAGCACCACCUCCACCAAUCUAACCACCAGUUAUAGCAUCACCUCUUACUUCCACCAAAUCCACCACCACAACCUCUUAAACAAACGAUGUGGAAUUUAAAUUCUAAAAGCUAAUCUAGACAUUCAGAUUUAUCUCAGUUUCAACUGGAUUUGGCUUGAUGUACCUAAAAUCGAUGAUUACAGUUACUUCUUAAUGAUUUGUCCAGAUCGAUUGGGAAGAGACGAUGAGAAUCGUCAUCAAUUUAUUGGAUCUGAAGAUCGAAUCAUUCGAAACGUAUAAAAAUUGGUUAUAUUCUUUCCCUUGCUCAAGUUUCUGUUGGUGGUGGUGGUAUUGUAACUAGUAGUGAUGCAGAUGGAAAGGGGUUAGACUUAGAACAAUGGAAUUGAUGGAUAUUAUGGUGGUUCUUGUUGGAAUCGUAACAUUUGGCGAUUGAAUGGUUCAGUUUGUUUGUUGUGGUGGUGUUGUUGGUUGGGAGAUGGUGGUGGUGGUGAUAUCUUCUGGGUUACACUAAGAUCCAAGGAUAAGUUCCAAGGAGUCUUAGGUGGGAUGCUUGUGGAGAUUUCACGAUGAGCUUCGUCUCUUAAGUUGCCAAUGUUUUUGAAAGUCGCCGGUGGUGGCGGCGGCGACGGCGGUGACGGCGGUGUGAUGGUGGUGACGGUGGCGGCUGUGGUGGUAUUUCGGUGGUGAUGGUAGCGGUUGGUAGCCGGUGGUGGUGGAUAUGUGGUGGUGCUAGUGGUGGUGGAAUGGUGGUGGCGACAGCGGUCAAAUGAUAAAAAAAAAUUGUUGUAUUUUGAAAAAAAGAAAAAUAUUAUAUGAGUGAGGGUAUUAAUGUAAUCUAUUUUUUUAAUGGAUGAUGUUUUUAAGUGAUAGGGGUAUAUUUAUUGUUGUAUAAGGGUAUAUUUGUUGGGUGUCAAAAUUAGGGGUAUAUUUUGUAUUUAAUAAAGACUCGCAGUUUCUAUUUGCUUGAGUAUAGAUUAAAUCAAGAGAUCGAGAUAUUAACUCCU
Molecule: long non-coding RNA, 1087 nt
Organism: Papaver somniferum (opium poppy)
Lineage: Eukaryota; Viridiplantae; Streptophyta; Magnoliopsida; Ranunculales; Papaveraceae
Exons: 3
Source: RefSeq, a predicted model, not a curated record